GUAGGUAUAGCAUAGUGGCAGAGUGCAUGCUUAGCAUGCAUGAGGUCCUGGGUUCAAUCCCCAGUACUUCUA
This 72-nucleotide transfer RNA is filed under the name Camelus bactrianus (Bactrian camel). It matches the Rfam family "tRNA". Rfam says of the family: Transfer RNA (tRNA) molecules are approximately 80 nucleotides in length. Their secondary structure includes four short double-helical elements and three loops (D, anti-codon, and T loops). Lineage: Eukaryota; Metazoa; Chordata; Mammalia; Artiodactyla; Camelidae. RNAcentral also lists the same sequence under 2 other names. The record is from Rfam by way of RNAcentral.